RNAcentral lists this ribosomal RNA (478 nucleotides) under Otostigmus rugulosus. RNAcentral's name for it is "partial 16S ribosomal RNA". It matches the Rfam family "Bacterial large subunit ribosomal RNA", at positions 1819 to 2606 of the family's 2925-position model. The record is from RNAcentral. Lineage: Eukaryota; Metazoa; Arthropoda; Chilopoda; Scolopendromorpha; Scolopendridae.
GUCUUUUUGAAAAUUAUGAAAAGUUUGACCUGCUCAAUGAUUUUAUAUAGCCGCGGUAUUUUGACCGUGCGAAGGUAGCAUAAUAAAUAGUCUUUUAAAUGUGGUCUGGAAUGAAUGGUUAAACGAAGAAUAUCUUUAUUAGUUUUGUUGAUGAAUUUGAAUUAUCAGUAAAAAUGCUGAUUUUUAAUAGAGGGACGAGAAGACCCUAUAGAGCUUUAUAUGAUUAAAAUUUAUGAUAGUAGUUUUUAAUCAUAUUUUGUUGGGGCGACAUAAAAUUUAAACAUUUGAUUUAUUUUCUUUUUUAGAGGUUAGUUGAUCCAUUAUUAAUGAUUAUAGACUAAGUUCCCUUAGGGAUAACAGCGUUAUCCUACUAUAGAGUUCUAUCGAUAGUAGGGUUUGCGACCUCGAUGUUGGAUUAGAAUUCCUAUAGGCGCAGAAGUUAGGAAGGCUGUUCGACUAUUAAAAUUCUACAUGAUCU